This 253-nucleotide ribosomal RNA is filed under the name uncultured bacterium. Its description in RNAcentral is "partial 16S ribosomal RNA". It matches the Rfam family "Bacterial small subunit ribosomal RNA", at positions 524 to 776 of the family's 1533-position model. The record is from RNAcentral.
UACGUAGGGGGCUAGCGUUCUCCGGAAUCAUUGGGCGUAAAGCGCGCGUAGGCGGCCAGAUAAGUCCGGUGUGAAAGUCACAGGCUCAACCUGUGAAUGCCGCUGGAAACUGUCUGGCUAGAGUCCGGAAGGGGCGAGUGGAAUUCCUGGUGUAGCGGUGAAAUGCGCAGAUAUCUGCAGGAACACCCGUGGCGAAAGCGGCGCGCUGGACCACUACUGACGCUGAGGAACGAAAGCUAGGGGAGCAAACAGG